CUUCCAGUAGCACCUUAGAGACCAACUAAGUUUGUUAUUGGUAUGAGCUUUCAUGUGCACAGACACUUCUUCAUGCACACACAAGCUCAUACCAAUAACAAACUUAGUUGGUCUCUAAGGUGCUACUGGAAG
Non-coding RNA from Podarcis lilfordi (Lilford's wall lizard), 132 nucleotides. The record is from the annotation of a GenBank genome assembly. NCBI's taxonomy places the organism in Eukaryota, Metazoa, Chordata, Lepidosauria, Squamata, Lacertidae.